RNAcentral lists this ribosomal RNA (253 nucleotides) under uncultured bacterium. RNAcentral's name for it is "partial 16S ribosomal RNA". It matches the Rfam family "Bacterial small subunit ribosomal RNA", at positions 524 to 776 of the family's 1533-position model. The record is from RNAcentral.
UACGGAGGGGGCUAGCGUUGUUCGGAAUUACUGGGCGUAAAGCGCACGUAGGCGGCUUUGUAAGUUAGAGGUGAAAGCCCGGAGCUCAACUUCGGAAUUGCCUUUAAGACUGCAUCGCUUGAAUCAUGGAGAGGUCAGUGGAAUUCCGAGUGUAGAGGUGAAAUUCGUAGAUAUUCGGAAGAACACCAGUGGCGAAGGCGGCCCCCUGGCACGAUACUGACGCUCAGGUGCGAAAGCGUGGGGAGCAAACAGG